This 966-nucleotide ribosomal RNA is filed under the name Pseudoalteromonas sp. RNAcentral's name for it is "bacterial SSU rRNA". It matches the Rfam family "Bacterial small subunit ribosomal RNA", at positions 79 to 1048 of the family's 1533-position model. Lineage: Bacteria; Pseudomonadati; Pseudomonadota; Gammaproteobacteria; Alteromonadales; Pseudoalteromonadaceae. The record is from RNAcentral.
GCUUCUUUGCUGACGAGCGGCGGACGGGUGAGUAAUGCUUGGGAACAUGCCUUGAGGUGGGGGACAACAGUUGGAAACGACUGCUAAUACCGCAUAAUGUCUACGGACCAAAGGGGGCUUCGGCUCUCGCCUUUAGAUUGGCCCAAGUGGGAUUAGCUAGUUGGUGAGGUAAUGGCUCACCAAGGCGACGAUCCCUAGCUGGUUUGAGAGGAUGAUCAGCCACACUGGGACUGAGACACGGCCCAGACUCCUACGGGAGGCAGCAGUGGGGAAUAUUGCACAAUGGGCGCAAGCCUGAUGCAGCCAUGCCGCGUGUGUGAAGAAGGCCUUCGGGUUGUAAAGCACUUUCAGUCAGGAGGAAAGCGUGGUGGUUAAUACCCAUCAUGUGUGACGUUACUGACAGAAGAAGCACCGGCUAACUCCGUGCCAGCAGCCGCGGUAAUACGGAGGGUGCGAGCGUUAAUCGGAAUUACUGGGCGUAAAGCGUACGCAGGCGGUUUGUUAAGCGAGAUGUGAAAGCCCCGGGCUCAACCUGGGAACUGCAUUUCGAACUGGCAAACUAGAGUGUGAUAGAGGGUGGUAGAAUUUCAGGUGUAGCGGUGAAAUGCGUAGAGAUCUGAAGGAAUACCGAUGGCGAAGGCAGCCACCUGGGUCAACACUGACGCUCAUGUACGAAAGCGUGGGGAGCAAACGGGAUUAGAUACCCCGGUAGUCCACGCCGUAAACGAUGUCUACUAGAAGCUCGGAGCCUCGGUUCUGUUUUUCAAAGCUAACGCAUUAAGUAGACCGCCUGGGGAGUACGGCCGCAAGGUUAAAACUCAAAUGAAUUGACGGGGGCCCGCACAAGCGGUGGAGCAUGUGGUUUAAUUCGAUGCAACGCGAAGAACCUUACCUACACUUGACAUACAGAGAACUUACCAGAGAUGGUUUGGUGCCUUCGGGAACUCUGAUACAGGUGCUGCAUGG